Non-coding RNA from Stegodyphus mimosarum, 73 nucleotides. The record is from Rfam. NCBI's taxonomy places the organism in Eukaryota, Metazoa, Arthropoda, Arachnida, Araneae, Eresidae.
GUCUUCGUGGUGUAGAGGUUAGCACACUCGGCGUGUAUUCAAGAGGUCCGUGGUUCGAGUCCCGGCGGGGGCG